UGGUAGUCCACGCCGUAAACGAUGUCGACUUGGAGGUUGUUCCCUUGAGGAGUGGCUUCCGGAGCUAACGCGUUAAGUCGACCGCCUGGGGAGUACGGCCGCAAGGUUAAAACUCAAAUGAAUUGACGGGGGCCCGCACAAGCGGUGGAGCAUGUGGUUUAAUUCGAUGCAACGCGAAGAACCUUACCUACUCUUGACAUCCAGAGAACUUAGCAGAGAUGCUUUGGUGCCUUCGGGAACUCUGAGACAGGUGCUGCAUGGCUGUCGUCAGCUCGUGUUGUGAAAUGUUGGGUUAAGUCCCGCAACGAGCGCAACCCUUAUCCUUUGUUGCCAGCGAUUCGGUCGGGAACUCAAAGGAGACUGCCGGUGAUAAACCGGAGGAAGGUGGGGAUGACGUCAAGUCAUCAUGGCCCUUACGAGUAGGGCUACACACGUGCUACAAUGGCGCAUACAAAGAGAAGCGACCUCGCGAGAGCAAGCGGACCUCACAAAGUGCGUCGUAGUCCGGAUCGGAGUCUGCAACUCGACUCCGUGAAGUCGGAAUCGCUAGUAAUCGUGGAUCAGAAUGCCACGGUGAAUACGUUCCCGGGCCUUGUACACACCGCCCGUCACACCA
RNAcentral lists this ribosomal RNA (616 nucleotides) under Pantoea sp. RNAcentral describes it as "bacterial SSU rRNA". It matches the Rfam family "Bacterial small subunit ribosomal RNA", at positions 788 to 1404 of the family's 1533-position model. Lineage: Bacteria; Pseudomonadati; Pseudomonadota; Gammaproteobacteria; Enterobacterales; Erwiniaceae. The record is from RNAcentral.